AGCAGCCGCGGUAAUUCCAGCUCCAAUAGCGUAUAUUAAAGUUGUUGCAGUUAAAAAGCUCGUAGUUGAAUUUUGGGUUUGGCCGAUUGGUCCGUUCUUGUAACGAGUACUGGUCGGUUGGGCCUCACCGCCUGGUGAUACGUAAUGUCCUUUAUUGGGUGUUGCGAGUAGCCAGGACCUUUACCUUGAAAAAAUUAGAGUGUUUAAAGCAGGCUUAUGCCGGAAUACAUUAGCAUGGAAUAAUAGAAUAGGACGAUGGUUCUAUUUUGUUGGUUUCUAGGAGCAUCGUAAUGAUUAAUAGGGAUAGUUGGGGGCAUUAGUAUUCAAUUGUCAGAGGUGAAAUUCUUGGAUUUAUUGAAGACUAACUACUGCGAAAGCAUUUGCCAAGGAUGUUUUCAUUAAUCAAGAACGAAAGUUAGGGGAUCGAAGACGAUCAGAUACCGUCGUAGUCUUAACCAUAAACCUAUGCCGACUAGGGAUCGGAUGAUGUUAAUUUUUUAAUGACUCA
This 508-nucleotide ribosomal RNA is filed under the name uncultured Archaeosporaceae. RNAcentral's name for it is "SSU rRNA". It matches the Rfam family "Eukaryotic small subunit ribosomal RNA", at positions 569 to 1078 of the family's 1831-position model. The record is from RNAcentral. Lineage: Eukaryota; Fungi; Glomeromycota; Glomeromycetes; Archaeosporales; Archaeosporaceae.